This 491-nucleotide ribosomal RNA is filed under the name uncultured bacterium. RNAcentral describes it as "partial 16S ribosomal RNA". It matches the Rfam family "Bacterial small subunit ribosomal RNA", at positions 29 to 507 of the family's 1533-position model. The record is from RNAcentral.
GUGAACGCUGGCGGUAGGCCUAACACAUGCAAGUCGAACGGCAGCACAGUAAGAGCUUGCUCUUACGGGUGGCGAGUGGCGGACGGGUGAGGAAUACAUCGGAAUCUACUUUUUCGUGGGGGAUAACGUAGGGAAACUUACGCUAAUACCGCAUACGACCUACGGGUGAAAGCAGGGGAUCUUCGGACCUUGCGCGAUUGAAUGAGCCGAUGUCGGAUUAGCUAGUUGGCGGGGUAAAGGCCCACCAAGGCGACGAUCCGUAGCUGGUCUGAGAGGAUGAUCAGCCACACGGGAACUGGGACGCGGUCCAGACUACUGCGGGAGGCAGCAGUGGGGAAUAUUGGACAGUGGGCGCAAGCCUGAUCCAGCCAUACCGCGUGGGUGAAGAAGGCCUUCGGGUUGUAAAGCCCUUUUGUUGGGAAAGAAAAGCAGCAGGUUAAUACCCCGCUGUUCUGACGGUACCCAAAGAAUAAGCACCGGCUAACUUCGUG